AGGCCACCAUGGAGGCAGGAGUUAGCCUCAUAGCAGCACAAAAAAUUGGUAUUGCACGAAGUUUCGUAAUGCUAGAGCCACGGCGUUGUGAUGAACAUCGACCACAGAGUCAUGUAUAGCCACAAUAAAAUCACUGCAAGUUAGAAUCGGAGGUCUCUGAAGGGCAUCGCAUGAAGUCUCGUAACAUGCCCUCAGAACCUCCGACUCACAUACCCGAAGGAUACCUUCGACAACACUCCACGGGAGUCGAGCAAAGGCAAAGAUGAGCUCAAUUCGGCAGAGGCUCCUUCGCACCAAGGCAAGCGAAGGCCCUAAGGUCAAGGAGCAGCAAGCCUACGCAUCCCACAUAUCCACCAGCGCCUUCGCUACAUCGAGCAUCAAGUAAUUAGUUGCAACAGCAACACAAAGAUCCUUAGGAUCAACGCUCGCUGCGCAUUCAACAAACACAUGUAAUCAC
RNAcentral lists this long non-coding RNA (457 nucleotides) under Sorghum bicolor (sorghum). RNAcentral describes it as "long non-coding RNA (SBIC_LNC009513)". Lineage: Eukaryota; Viridiplantae; Streptophyta; Magnoliopsida; Poales; Poaceae. The record is from RNAcentral.